AUAGUACUGUGAAGGAACGGUGAAAAGAACCCCGGGAGGGGAGUGAAAAAGAACCUGAAACCCUAUGCUUACAAGCACCGAGAGCACGUCAAAGUGUGAUCGGGUACCUUUUGUAGAAUGGUCCGGCGAGUUAUUGUAUGCGGCAAGGUUAAGUGCUUAAGGCACGGAGCCGAAGCGAGAGCAAGUCUGAAUAGGGCGAAAAAGUCGUAUGCAAUAGACCCGAAACCGAGUGACCUAUCCAUGUCCAGGCUGAAGUGGAGGUAAAACUCCAUGGAGGGCCGAACACACGUCCGUUGAAAAGGCCGGUGAUGAGGUGUGGAUAGCGGAGAAAUUCCAAUCGAACUCGGAUAUAGCUGGUUCUCUCCGAAAUAGCUUUAGGGCUAGCCUCGUGAAAGAUUACUGGAGGUAAAGCACUGAAUGGGCUAGGGGUCGAAAGAUUACUGAACCCUAUCAAACUAAGAAUGCCAGAUAAUUGAUUCACGGGAGUCAGACAAUGUGAGAUAAGUCUCAUUGUCAAAAGGGAAACAGCCCAGACCCACAGCUAAGGUCCCUAAACAUUGUUAAGUGGAAAAGGAUGUGGGGUUGCAUAAACAACCAGGAUGUUGGCUUAGAAGCAGCCACUCAUUAAAAGAGUGCGUAAUAGCUCACUGGUCGAGUGACCCUGCGCCGAAAAUUCAACGGGGCUAAACAAUGUACCGAAGCUUGGGAUUCUAAAGUAAUUUAGAGUGGUAGGAGAGCGUCGAAUAAGGGGUGAAGUCAGAGCGGAAGCGCUGGUGGACUUUAUUCGAGUGAGAAUGCCGGAAUGAGUAGCGAGAAUUAUGUGAGAAUCAUAAUGGCCGAAAAUCUAAGGUUUCCUGAGGAAGGUUCGUCCGCUCAGGGUAAGCCGGGGGCUAAGGCGAGGCGGAGACGCGUAGCCGAUGCACAUACGGUUGAAAUUCCGUAGCCACCGAAAGAUUUAAGUACAGGGACGCUUUAGAAGUGAUGUUGCCGGGCGAUGGUUGACCCGGUCGUAAGGGAUCGAAAAUGAGUAGAGAAGUCAUCAUGGAAAGAGACAAGAAAAGCUGUAUGAAUAUCUUAGGUGCCCGUACCGCAAACCGACACAGGUAGAUAGGAAGAAGAUUCUAAGGCCAACGGGAGAAGGGUUGUUAAGGAACUCGGCAAGUUGACCCCGUAACUUAGGGAUAAGGGGUGCUCAAGUGAUUGAGCCGCAGAGAAUAGGCCCAGGCGACUGUUUAGCAAAAACACAGGUCUCUGCUAAAUCGAAAGAUGACGUAUAGGGGCUGACACCUGCCCGGUGCCGGAAGGUUAAGAGGAGAUGUGAGAGCAUUGAAUUGAAGCCCCGGUAAACGGCGGCCGUAACUAUAACGGUCCUAAGGUAGCGAAAUUCCUUGUCAGGUAAGUUCUGACCCGCACGAAAGGCGUAAUGAUUUGGGCACUGUCUCAACAGCCCGCCCGGCGAAAUUGUAGUACCGGUGAAGAUGCCGGUUACCCGCGACAAGACG
This 1502-nucleotide ribosomal RNA is filed under the name human metagenome. RNAcentral's name for it is "bacterial LSU rRNA". It matches the Rfam family "Bacterial large subunit ribosomal RNA", at positions 495 to 2082 of the family's 2925-position model. The record is from RNAcentral.